This 550-nucleotide ribosomal RNA is filed under the name Funneliformis mosseae. Its description in RNAcentral is "SSU rRNA". It matches the Rfam family "Eukaryotic small subunit ribosomal RNA", at positions 548 to 1098 of the family's 1831-position model. The record is from RNAcentral. Lineage: Eukaryota; Fungi; Glomeromycota; Glomeromycetes; Glomerales; Glomeraceae.
UUGGAGGGCAAGUCUGGUGCCAGCAGCCGCGGUAAUUCCAGCUCCAAUAGCGUAUAUUAAAGUUGUUGCAGUUAAAAAGCUCGUGGUUGAAUUUCGGGAUCAAUAUUUCGGUCAUGCCGUUGGUAUGCACUGUUAUCAUUGAUUUCUCACCUUCUAAAGAACCGUAAUGCCAUUAAUUUGGUGUUACGGGGAAUUAGGACUGUUACCUUGAAAAAAUUAGAGUGUUUAAAGCAGGCUCACGCUUGAAUACAUUAGCAUGGAAUAAUGAAAUAGGACAUCCGAUUCUAUUUUGUUGGUUUCUAGGAUCGAUGUAAUGAUUAAUAGGGAUAGUUGGGGGCAUUAGUAUUCAAUUGUCAGAGGUGAAAUUCUUGGAUUUAUUGAAGACUAACUACUGCGAAAGCAUUUGCCAAGGAUGUUUUCAUUAAUCAAGAACGAAAGUUAGGGGAUCGAAGACGAUCAGAUACCGUCGUAGUCUUAACCAUAAACUAUGCCGACUAGGGAUCGGAUGAUGUUAAUUUUUUAAUGACUCAUUCGGCGCCUUACGGGAAAC